CAACAGAGCCACCCAGGCGCCCCCACACUGGCAAUUUCUAAAUGCUGCCCAAGCAUUUAGAUGUUUUCUUUUCAAGAAGGAAGAAUGUUUGCCUAAUAAAAAAAAUUUUUUUUAAUUCCACCACGACCUAGUAGUCUCAGGGUCAGUUAACCUUGAUGGGAGAAUUACCCAGAAGCUUUGUUCUCGGUUCACAGGUGGUGGGCUCUGAACAGCCGGAAUGGAUGUGCAGGCACCUGGCAAGCAAACAAACCUUCCAUCUUGGUCCUGGCCCAGCUCUGCUUUCUCUCAGCCCAGGAGAGCGUGCCUUCAGCACAGACCAGCGCCAAGAGGGAGACGGGACUGCUGAGAGCUGGAAACGGGGUGUGUACAUCGAAGUUGGGAUACGGGGGGAGGGGCAUCGCCAGUCUGCUAAAAGCUG
Molecule: long non-coding RNA, 418 nt
Filed under: Suricata suricatta (meerkat)
Lineage: Eukaryota; Metazoa; Chordata; Mammalia; Carnivora; Herpestidae
Description: lncRNA (ENSSSUG00005021507.1)
Source: RNAcentral